GCCCCUGUGGCGGAACCGGUAGACGCGGCGGACUCAAAAUCCGCUGCCCUUGCGGGCGUGGGAGUUCAAGUCUCCCCGGGGGCACCA
This 87-nucleotide transfer RNA is filed under the name Phaeovibrio sulfidiphilus. RNAcentral describes it as "tRNA-Leu". It matches the Rfam family "tRNA". Rfam says of the family: Transfer RNA (tRNA) molecules are approximately 80 nucleotides in length. Their secondary structure includes four short double-helical elements and three loops (D, anti-codon, and T loops). Further hydrogen bonds mediate the characteristic L-shaped molecular structure. tRNAs have two regions of fundamental functional importance: the anti-codon, which is responsible for specific mRNA codon recognition, and the 3' end, to which the tRNAs corresponding amino acid is attached (by aminoacyl-tRNA synthetases). tRNAs cope with the degeneracy of the genetic code in two manners: having more than one tRNA (with a specific anti-codon) for a particular amino acid; and 'wobble' base-pairing, i.e. permitting non-standard base-pairing at the 3rd anti-codon position. Lineage: Bacteria; Pseudomonadati; Pseudomonadota; Alphaproteobacteria; Rhodospirillales; Rhodospirillaceae. The record is from RNAcentral.